RNAcentral lists this ribosomal RNA (460 nucleotides) under uncultured bacterium. RNAcentral's name for it is "partial 16S ribosomal RNA". It matches the Rfam family "Bacterial small subunit ribosomal RNA", at positions 28 to 507 of the family's 1533-position model. The record is from RNAcentral.
GACGAACGCUGGCGGCGUGCCUAAUACAUGCAAGUCGAGCGGUAAGGCCUCUUCGGGGGUACUCGAGCGGCGAACGGGUGCGUAACACGUGGAUGACCUUCACUCAGCUAUGGGAUAAGCAUGGGUAACUGAGUCUAAUACUGGAUAUGACCUUUAUUUGCAUGGGCUUUGGUGGAUAGUUUUUUCGGCUGGGGAUGGGACGGCAGCCUAUCAGCUUGUUGGUGGGGUGAUGGCCUACCAAGGCGACGACGGGUAGCCGGCCUGCGAAGCCGACCGGCCACACUGGGACUGAGACACGGCCCGGACACCUACGGGAGGCAGCAGUGGGGAAUAGUGCGCAAGGGGCGGAAGCCUGACGCAUCUACGCCGCGUGGGGGAUUACUGCCAUGGGGGUGUAAACCUCUUUCGACCUCGACGAAUUUUGACGGUAGGUGUAGAGGAAGCACCGGCCAACUACGUG